Molecule: long non-coding RNA, 461 nt
Filed under: Pan troglodytes (chimpanzee)
Lineage: Eukaryota; Metazoa; Chordata; Mammalia; Primates; Hominidae
Description: long non-coding RNA NONPTRT010733
Source: RNAcentral
GAAAGAGAACUCUGUUGGAUGGUAAUGUAAGAGGACUCUGUCUACAGAAAUAAGGAUGAUUUGCCUUGUGUAGCUCUUUAUGUUCUGAGAUGAGCAGAUGACAGAUUGGGAUGCUGGAGAUUUUGAAUGUGCACACCGCUGGGAAGACCACGCCAAUUGGCUUACACGCCGAAUUCAAGGAGGAUUUUGUAAAACUUUCCUGCUAAUUUGAAAGAGCUGCACCACAGAACACAGUAUAUGGUUCAAAGUACACAGUACGUAUUGGUGUGCCUGAUUGAGACUCAGGUGUACAAAGCCAUGAGCGAAGUUCAGAACUCCAGUGCUUCUCUGAGAUGAUGCCUCAGUGGAGCCUCUGGCCCUUCAGGAAAAGAAGUUGCUGCUCUCAGGAGCUCUUUCCAGUAGGCUCCCCCAGUCAGCUAGAGCAGUGGCCAUAAUCAAGGGGCACUCGUUCUGGUUCUGAC